Long non-coding RNA from Equus asinus (donkey), 1415 nucleotides. NCBI's taxonomy places the organism in Eukaryota, Metazoa, Chordata, Mammalia, Perissodactyla, Equidae. The record is from Ensembl.
CCUUUGUUCAUCCUCACCCAGACAGAACAUUCCUGAGACAUUCUCUUAGGUUUACCAUCAGACAGACUGCUUUACUUAUCUGCCCACAUCUUCAUCCUAAAAGAGUAACCUUCUCUUGGUCGGCCUCAGAGGAAAUACCCGCAUGAAGAUCUACAGAAGUCCCCACCAGCACUGAGCUCCCUGAGACAUUGCUUUGGAAGAUAUCCCCAGUGUACUCCAUUGCUUGUGCAAGCAAUCAACCUCUUCUUCACCUGCUUCUGCCUUGGCUGUGCUUCUCAGCUCCACGCUCACCAAGAGAUGAACCCACUCAGUUCAGUUACAAGGCUUUCAAAAUGCGUCAGCUACUGCAUCUACCUCCACCCUCCAGGGGUCAAAGAAUUUACAUACCAAAGCUGACAGCUUUGAGGAAAAGAGAUGAAGAGCUCGUUAAGAUCUACAAAACCGAAGAUAAAAGGAAAACACUGAGGAAGAUGGCUUGAUGUGGAAGAGGAAGAAUUUCUUUUCAGAAUAAAAAGCUUAAUUGAAAGAGAACUGGCCUUCAAGUCCAGGAUCUCUUCAUUUCCAAUUUAGCUGUAUGUGACACCGGCGAAGGCACUUGAGAUAAUAUGUGUGGCUGUGCCUUCUGUAUUGUAAACUAGUAAACUGUACAGCAAUUUAAAUGUAAACUGUUGCCAUUUUUAAAUUGGCCCUUUUUGAAAAGACACACACACACAUUCUGACCCUGGGCCUCACCUGCGUGCAGCUCUAUAGUUCUUCCAAGGCAGUCGGUGGGGAGGGCUUUACAUUGUCCCAGAUUAGUCUUUUUGUUUCUUUGUUUCUGAGGAAGAUUCUGCCUGAGCCAACAUCUGUUGCCAAUCUUCCUCUAUUUUGUAUGUGAGUUGCUGCCACAGCAUGGCCACUGAUGAGUCUGAUGAGUGGUGUAGGUCCACACCUGGGAACUGAACGUGGACCGCCAAAGUGGAGCAUGCUUAACCGAACCACCAGACCACAGGCUGCCCCCUGCCCCCCCCCCCCGUUUUUUUAUGUUUUCUACUCCCUCUGGGCUAAAAACAAAAAGGAAAAAGCCACCUUGUCAGUUUGUUAAUGUCAUAUGUAACCUCUUGGGAAGUCUCGGCCGUGCUUUGAAGGAGGGGAGUGGGAGGGAGGCCACACUCACCCAGCCUGACCUCCCUCGGGUUGUGACAUCAGAGCUCUGUUUAUGUAGCUAAAGGACUAUGUAGGUGGGGACCACAUGGAUGAUCCAGGAGGCUGCACCACAUCCCCUGCUCCGUUUGUUUCCUGAUAGCUUGUCAGCUGCUCUAAGCAGCAGAGAGAAGAAAUCUCUAAGGUUCUUUGUCACUUGGUGCCGUCUGUUUCCUUUCUCAUUUCUUUCCUGAAAACUUUUUUCAAUAAACACUAUGAAACAGACACUAGAG